This 350-nucleotide ribosomal RNA is filed under the name uncultured bacterium. Its description in RNAcentral is "bacterial SSU rRNA". It matches the Rfam family "Bacterial small subunit ribosomal RNA", at positions 28 to 390 of the family's 1533-position model. The record is from RNAcentral.
GACGAACGCUGGCGGCGUGCUUAACACAUGCAAGUCACGGGGGCUCGCAAGAGCAACCGGCGAACGGGUGCGUAACACGUGAGCAACCUGCCGAUCUGAGGGGGAUAGCCGGCCCAACGGCCGGGUAAUACCGCAUACGUUCUUUGAGGGGAGUCCCUUAGAGAAGAAACCUCCGGGGCAGAUCGAGGGGCUCGCGGCCUAUCAGCUAGUUGGCGGUGUAACGGACCACCAAGGCAACGACGGGUAGCUGGUCUGAGAGGAUGGCCAGCCACAUUGGGACUGAGAGACGGCCCAGACUCCUACGGGAGGCAGCAGUGGGAAUCUUGCGCAAUGGCCGAAAGGCUGACGCA